CCAAAGUGGAGGGGCACCUGUUGGUCAGACAUUUCUUCAGCCCACUAACAUGGUUCCACAGGUAUCACCAAGUGUACCUCAACAAUAUUUUCAGGAUUGUCCAUACCUUUCAAGUACAGAACGUCAUUCUUCAUCAGGGUCUGUGCCAG
Molecule: long non-coding RNA, 149 nt
Organism: Scomber scombrus (Atlantic mackerel)
Lineage: Eukaryota; Metazoa; Chordata; Actinopteri; Scombriformes; Scombridae
Exons: 3
Source: RefSeq, a predicted model, not a curated record